Molecule: ribosomal RNA, 253 nt
Filed under: uncultured bacterium
Lineage: Bacteria
Description: partial 16S ribosomal RNA
Rfam family: Bacterial small subunit ribosomal RNA
Source: RNAcentral
UACAGAGGGUGCAAGCGUUGUUCGGAAUUAUUGGGCGUAAAGCACGUGUAGGCGGCUUGUUAAGUCGGGUGUGAAAGCCCUCAGCUCAACUGAGGAAGUGCGCCCGAAACUGGCGAGCUUGAGUGUCGGAGAGGAUGGCGGAAUACCCCAAGUAGAGGUGAAAUUCGUAGAUAUUAGGAAGAACACCAGUGGCGAAGGCGGCUCACUGGCCCGGUACUGACGCUGAGGCGCGAAAGCGUGGGGAGCAAACAGG